GAGAGCUACAGCUGCCUGCUGUGAACCUCCAUCCUCAUCCAGGCCACUCUCUGGGCAGCCUCCCCUAGAAACCCUGUCCCAAGUCCCCAGGCGAAGCGGAAAAAUACCUGUUUCUACAGACUGCUCAGGAAUUAGGUCGUGAAAUGAAUUUUGGAGAGCAACCGCAUGUGGUGCGGACUGGUGUGGACAGCUUGGGGACUGCCAGUCUGCAGGGCACCUGUGCUUCUGAGAUUACAGGGAGGCGGGCAUCACGCAGAGAUGGAAGCCCAGAGAGAUGGACCGAUCUGCUGUCGGAGUGAGAGGCAAGCUGCUGCUGGGACAGGCCCUCGUGCAAGAUCAUGCGGCCAGCCUGGCCGGCCUAGCAGGUAUGAUGAUCAGAUCCAAGAUUGGGUCACCCCCUUAUUGGACCUCUCACCUCCCCACCGUGACCACAUGUCUUCAAGCCAACUUGCCAGGAAGCUAGCCCCGGUGCGUGCCCCAUCCCUCCGUGACUCCACCUGCCCUGCCCUCCUGCAAGAGAUCCCAGCCCAAGGUUGGCCCUGGGGACAGGCCAUGACAAGCAGGGGGUCAGAG
Molecule: long non-coding RNA, 573 nt
Organism: Microcebus murinus (gray mouse lemur)
Lineage: Eukaryota; Metazoa; Chordata; Mammalia; Primates; Cheirogaleidae
Source: Ensembl